Molecule: ribosomal RNA, 848 nt
Filed under: uncultured bacterium
Lineage: Bacteria
Description: bacterial SSU rRNA
Rfam family: Bacterial small subunit ribosomal RNA
Source: RNAcentral
ACGCUGGCGGUGCGCCUUAUGCAUGCAAGUCGAGCGAAGCUUUUCAGUAGUUUACUACAGAAAAUGACUGAGCGGCGAACGGGUGAGUAACGCGUGAGCAACCUACCUUAGUUACUGGGAUAGCCCGAGGAAACUCGGAUUAAUACCGGAUAUUCUUAUUUGAUCACAUGAUUUUUUAAGGAAAGGUCAGCCGAACUAAGAUGGGCUCGCGUUCUAUCAGCUAGUUGGUAGGGUAAUGGCCUACCAAGGCUACGACGGAUAGCUGGUCUGAGAGGACGAUCAGCCACACUGGGACUGAGACACGGCCCAGACUCCUACGGGAGGCUGCAGCAGGGAAUAUUGCGCAAUGAGCGAAAGCUUGACGCAGCGACACCGCGUGUGGGAUGACGGAUCUAGGUUUGUAAACCACUUUCAGGAGGGAAGAAAAUGACGGUACCUCCACAAGAAGCCCCGGCCAACUACGUGCCAGCAGCCGCGGUAAUACGUAGGGGGCGAGCGUUGUCCGGAUUUAUUGGGCGUAAAGAGCUCGUAGGCGGUUCAACAAGUCGGUCGUGAAAGUUCAGGGCUCAACCCUGAAAUGUCGAUCGAUACUGUUGUGACUAGGAUACGGUAGAGGUGAGUGGAAUUCCGAGUGUAGCGGUGAAAUGCGUAGAUAUUCGGAGGAACACCAAUUGCGAAGGCAGCUCACUGGGCCGCUAUCGACGCUGAGGAGCGAAAGCUAGGGGAGCAAACAGGAUUAGAUACCCUGGUAGUCCUAGCUGUAAACGAUGGAUACUAGACGUAGGAAUUGGAUUAACGAUUUCUGUGUCGUAGCUAACGCGUUAAGUAUCCCGCCUGGGGAGUACGGU